Molecule: ribosomal RNA, 440 nt
Filed under: uncultured bacterium
Lineage: Bacteria
Description: partial 16S ribosomal RNA
Rfam family: Bacterial small subunit ribosomal RNA
Source: RNAcentral
CCUACGGGUGGCAGCAGUAGGGAAUAUUGCUCAAUGGGGGAAACCCUGAAGCAGCAACGCCGCGUGGAGGAUGAAGGUCUUCGGAGUGUAAACCCCUUUUGUUAGAGAAGAAAAUGACGGUAUCUAACGAAUAAGCACCGGCUAACUCCGUGCCAGCAGCCGCGGUAAUACGGAGGGUGCAAGCGUUACGCGGAAUUACUGGGGGUAAAGAGCGCGUAGGCGGGAUAGCAAGUCAGAUGUGAAAUCCUAGGGCUUAACCAUAGAACUGCAUUUGAAACUGUUAGUCUAGAGUGUGGGAGAGGUAGGUGGAAUUCUUGGUGUAGGGGUGAAAUCCGUAGAGAUCAAGAGGAAUACUCAUUGCGAAGGCGACCUGCUAGACCAUAACUGACGCUGAUGCGCGAAAGCGUGGGGAGCAAACAGGAUUAGAUACCCGUGUAGUC